Molecule: ribosomal RNA, 488 nt
Filed under: uncultured bacterium
Lineage: Bacteria
Description: partial 16S ribosomal RNA
Rfam family: Bacterial small subunit ribosomal RNA
Source: RNAcentral
GACGAACGCUGGCGGCGUGCUUAACACAUGCAAGUCGAACGGAAAGGCCCUGCUUUUGUGGGGUGCUCGAGUGGCGAACGGGUGAGUAACACGUGAGUAACCUGCCCUUGACUUUGGGAUAACUUCAGGAAACUGGGGCUAAUACCGGAUAGGAGCUCCUGCUGCAUGGUGGGGGUUGGAAAGUUUCGGCGGUUGGGGAUGGACUCGCGGCUUAUCAGCUUGUUGGUGGGGUAGUGGCUUACCAAGGCUUUGACGGGUAGCCGGCCUGGGAGGGUGAGCGGCGGGCUUGGACGGGCUGCACGCCCCAGAGGACGGGGGGGGGGGGGGGGGGUGAACGAUGGACAAGGGCGGGCAGCGUGAGCGGGAGGCGCGGAGGGGGGAAGGGCGGCUUGCGGUUGGUCGCCCGUUUUCGCCGGGGGAGAGGCGACUGGGAAGAUGAUGGAUAAAGAACAACCGACUAACUACGUGCCAGCAGCCGCGGUAAAGAG